UCCUGUAUCAGCUAAAUUAUGCAAUUUAUAAUGCAUGUCUGCUAUACAUUUACUUUUUAAAGGAAAGCAGAAACUCGCGGCAAACCAAAGGAGGAAGGAGAAGAAAACCAGGCUAAAACAGAAACACCCACAGUCUCUACAAACCUAGAGGAAGCAGAAGAUGAAGUGCUAUAUGCAUCUGUCCACAUUCAACCUAAAGAACGGCUUCAAAUGUCUGCCAACACAGGGCAGGAGAAUGAUUCAGCCAUCUACAGCACCGUAGUGAAUGGUUAACCU
Rhinichthys klamathensis goyatoka is the source of this 276-nucleotide long non-coding RNA. RefSeq lists it as uncharacterized. NCBI's taxonomy places the organism in Eukaryota, Metazoa, Chordata, Actinopteri, Cypriniformes, Leuciscidae. The transcript has 3 exons. The record is from RefSeq and is a predicted model, not a curated record.